AUUGAACGCUGGCGGCAUGCCUUACACAUGCAAGUCGAACGGCAGCAUGAUCUAGCUUGCUAGAUUGAUGGCGAGUGGCGAACGGGUGAGUAAUACAUCGGAACGUGCCCUGUAGUGGGGGAUAACUAGUCGAAAGAUUAGCUAAUACCGCAUACGACCUGAGGGUGAAAGUGGGGGACCGCAAGGCCUCAUGCUAUAGGAGCGGCCGAUGUCUGAUUAGCUAGUUGGUGAGGUAAAGGCUCACCAAGGCGACGAUCAGUAGCUGGUCUGAGAGGACGAUCAGCCACACUGGGACUGAGACACGGCCCAGACUCCUACGGGAGGCAGCAGUGGGGAAUUUUGGACAAUGGGCGAAAGCCUGAUCCAGCAAUGCCGCGUGUGUGAAGAAGGCCUUCGGGUUGUAAAGCACUUUUGUCCGGAAAGAAAUGGCUCUGGUUAAUACCUGGGGUCGAUGACGGUACCGGAAGAAUAAGGACCGGCUAACUACGCG
RNAcentral lists this ribosomal RNA (490 nucleotides) under uncultured bacterium. RNAcentral describes it as "partial 16S ribosomal RNA". It matches the Rfam family "Bacterial small subunit ribosomal RNA", at positions 30 to 507 of the family's 1533-position model. The record is from RNAcentral.